CCGAUAUAGCUCAGCUGGCAGAGCAACUCAUUCGUAAUGAGUAGGUCGUGAGUUCAAAUCUCACUAUCGG
This 70-nucleotide transfer RNA is filed under the name human gut metagenome. It matches the Rfam family "tRNA". From Rfam's summary of the family: Transfer RNA (tRNA) molecules are approximately 80 nucleotides in length. Their secondary structure includes four short double-helical elements and three loops (D, anti-codon, and T loops). The record is from RNAcentral.